CCCGAAAGUUGCUUACAUCCUUCUCCUGGUUCUCAGACAGGGUAUAUCCUUCCUAUGUAGUCCUUCCUGUCCUCAACAUUAGACCAGUUUGGUCUUGAACUCAGAGAUCCACUUGUGUCUGUCCACAGAAUUUUGAGAUUGAAGAUACAAGAUGGGCUUCAAGACUGUACAGGAGAAUGAAGGCAUCCAACUAAGGAAUCUG
This is a long non-coding RNA of Onychomys torridus (southern grasshopper mouse), 202 nucleotides long. RefSeq lists it as uncharacterized. NCBI's taxonomy places the organism in Eukaryota, Metazoa, Chordata, Mammalia, Rodentia, Cricetidae. The transcript is spliced from 3 exons. The record is from RefSeq and is a predicted model, not a curated record.